AGUAAAUAGAUACCCUGGUAGUCCACGCCGUAAACGAUGUCGACUUGGAGGUUGUGCCCUUGAGGCGUGGCUUCCGGAGCUAAACGCGUUAAGUCGACCGCCUGGGGAGUACGGCCGCAAGGUUAAAACUCAAAUGAAUUGACGGGGGCCCGCACAAGCGGUGGAGCAUGUGGUUUAAUUCGAUGCAACGCGAAGAACCUUACCUACCCUUGACAUCCAGAGAACUUAGCAGAGAUGCUUUGGUGCCUUCGGGAACUCUGAGACAGGUGCUGCGUGGCUGUCGUCAGCUCGUGUUGUGAAAUGUUGGGUUAAGUCCCGCAACGAGCGCAACCCUUAUCCUUUGUUGCCAGCGGUUAGGCCGGGAACUCAAAGGAGACUGCCAGUGAUAAACUGGAGGAAGGUGGGGAUGACGUCAAGUCAUCAUGGCCCUUACGAGUAGGGCUACACACGUGCUACAAUGGCGCAUACAAAGAGAAGCGACCUCGCGAGAGCAAGCGGACCUCAUAAAGUGCGUCGUAGUCCGGAUUGGAGUCUGC
RNAcentral lists this ribosomal RNA (536 nucleotides) under uncultured bacterium. Its description in RNAcentral is "bacterial SSU rRNA". It matches the Rfam family "Bacterial small subunit ribosomal RNA", at positions 774 to 1308 of the family's 1533-position model. The record is from RNAcentral.